Molecule: small RNA, 29 nt
Filed under: Bombyx mori (domestic silkworm)
Lineage: Eukaryota; Metazoa; Arthropoda; Insecta; Lepidoptera; Bombycidae
Description: ovarian small RNA-15884
Source: RNAcentral
GAGGACCGGACGGACCGCCUCGACGGUAC